UGCAAAUGAUGUCUUUUCUCACGAUGGUCUUCCAAGCCUUUGAGGCUCUGACGACAACGCCUAAUGGCUUUGCUGAUGCGGCUCU
This is a small nucleolar RNA of Silurus meridionalis, 85 nucleotides long. RefSeq annotates it as small nucleolar RNA SNORD35. The transcript has a single exon. NCBI's taxonomy places the organism in Eukaryota, Metazoa, Chordata, Actinopteri, Siluriformes, Siluridae. The record is from RefSeq and is a predicted model, not a curated record.